CACACAUACAUUCAAGCUUGUGGAGGAGAGUGACAGAAUGUUCUGCGGGUCUAGAAACUUCCAAGGCCGGUCCAAAAGUACAUGCAUAUACUUAGCUGGCGAAAGAAAAAAAGAAAGGAAGGAAGGAAGGAAGGAAAGGAGGGAAAGAAAAGAAAGGAAAAGAAAAAAGAAAAGAGACUUUGACAAAGAAAGGCAUUUCCCUGGGAAUAUUCUACCUCUGGGAGGACAGUGGUCAGGCAUUUCUUCUAUCUUGCUAUUCCUUGAGCACAGUCCUGCCAAAUAUCCUCCUUUCACCAUUUGCAGUUACCAUGAGAAAACCACAGAGAAAGCUCUGGACAGCCAUGGAGUCUUAGCUGGAUCUACAAUAAACGGAGUCAGGUACCCUCCCACCUUCCCAGAAAGACUGUGCUGGGGCUCAGAAAACAACACCCCAAAAUGAAGCCCUCAGCAGCAGCCUCAGAAGCAAAUGAUUUUCUCUGACCUUCUCUUGCCCUCCUGUCUCUUAGUCCCAUUCUCCUCGGAGGCUAGCCAUAGAAACCAGAAGCCUUUUCCAAAGCCAGCCAUAAAACCUUAAAAUAUUAGUUUAACUUUCCCUCCACCCUAUCUGUAUAAAAACUGGCCAUAUGGGCUGGGCACUUUGGCUCAUGCCUGUGAUCUCAGCACUUUGGGAGGCCAAGGCGGGAGGAUCACUUGAGGUCAGGAGUUCAAGACCAGCCUGGCCAACAUGGUGAAACCCCAUCUCUACUAAAAAUACAAAAAUUAGCCAGGCGUUGUGGCUCACGCCUGUAGUCCCAGCUACUGAAGAGUUUGAGGCAGGAGAAUUGCUUCAGCCCGGGAGGCGGAGGUUGCAGUGAGCUGAGAUCGUACCACUGCACUCCAGGCUGGGCAAUAGAGCAAGGCUCUGUUUCAAAUAAAUAAAUAAUAAAAAUUAAAACUGGCCAUAAAUAAAUUAUCUGACCUACCCUGUUUGAUAGUAGGUCAUAAGACCCCCAUUCCAGAGAGGGUCCUGCCCCACAC
RNAcentral lists this long non-coding RNA (1017 nucleotides) under Pan troglodytes (chimpanzee). Its description in RNAcentral is "lncRNA (ENSPTRG00000053490.1)". The record is from RNAcentral. Lineage: Eukaryota; Metazoa; Chordata; Mammalia; Primates; Hominidae.